RNAcentral lists this unclassified non-coding RNA (200 nucleotides) under Hevea brasiliensis (rubber tree). The record is from RNAcentral. Lineage: Eukaryota; Viridiplantae; Streptophyta; Magnoliopsida; Malpighiales; Euphorbiaceae.
UCGCCCUGGCUAUUGAUUGUGGGAUUUGCACUCCCACCAAUGGCAUACAUCUCCCAGUGAGUAUAGUCGUUGUUGACUACAUGGAAGUAUCCAUGUCUGCACCUUGGCAUUCUCUGGAUGAGUCCCUCUCCAAAAUGGUUGUACGCGAUGGUCACUUGCAUUUGCUUGUCUCUUGUGUACGAAUCACUGUGGCCCAAUAG